Molecule: ribosomal RNA, 1637 nt
Filed under: human gut metagenome
Description: bacterial LSU rRNA
Rfam family: Bacterial large subunit ribosomal RNA
Source: RNAcentral
CAAUCGAACCCGGAGAUAGCUGGUUCUCCUCGAAAUAGCUUUAGGGCUAGCCUCGCAUUAGUUUACCGGAGGUAGAGCACUGAAUGGUCUAGGGGGCCUCACCGCCUACCGAAACCUAUCAAACUGCGAAUGCCGGAUAAAUGAUGUGCGGGAGUCAGGCCGCGAGAGAUAAGUUCCGCGGUCAAAAGGGGAACACCCCAGAUCGUCUGCUAAGGUCCCCAAGUACGCGUUAAGUGGGAAAGGAUGUUGGAUUGCACAGACAACCAGGAUGUUGGCUUAGAAGCAGCCACACAUUCAAAGAGUGCGUAAUAGCUCACUGGUCGAGUGAUCCAGCGCCGAAAAUGUAACGGGGCUAAAACGCGACACCGAAGCAGCGGGAUGCGUAAGCAUCGGUAGAGGAGCAUUGUGUGAGGGUUGAAGCCAGAGCGGGAGCACUGGUGGACUUCACAGAAGAGAGAAUGCCGGUAUGAGUAGCGAGACCCAUGCGAGAAACAUGGGCGUCGAAGGCCCAAGGUUUCCUGGGGAAGGUUCAUCCACCCAGGGUAAGUCGGGACCUAAGCCGAGGACUGAGGUCGUAGGCGAUGGACAGCAGGUAGAGAUUCCUGCACCACUUACACUUGUUUGACGAAGCAGUGACACAGAAGGAUAGGACGAGCGCGGUGAUGGUCAACCGCGUAGGCGGCACGAGGCCGGGAAGCAGUGAAGUACACUUCCCGCAAAGGCUGAGUGUUGACAGGACCGAAAAGAAGUAGGGAAGCGUCCGAGUUCACGCUGGCGAGAAAAGCUGCUAAGGAGAGUGUGAGUGCCCGUACCGGAAACCGACGCAGGUGGGCGAGGAGAGAAUCCUGAGACGGACGGGAGAACUCUUGUUAAGGAACUCGGCAAAAUGACCCCGUAACUUCGGGAGAAGGGGUGCCUCGAAAGAGGCCGCAGAGAAUAGUCACAAGCGACUGUUUAGCAAAAACACAGGUAUCUGCGAAAGCGAGAGCUGACGUAUAGGUGCUGACGCCUGCCCGGUGCUGGAAGGUUAAGGGGAAGUGUUAGGGGAAACCCGAAGCAGAGAACCGAAGCCCCAGUAAACGGCGGCCGUAACUAUAACGGUCCUAAGGUAGCGAAAUUCCUUGUCGGGUAAGUUCCGACCCGCACGAAUGGCGUAACGACUUGUGAGCUGUCUCAACAGGAGGCCCGGUGAAAUUGAAGUAUGUGUGAAGAUGCACAUUACCCGCGACUGGACGGAAAGACCCCGUAGAGCUUUACUGUAACCUGACAUUGGAUCUUGAUAACGGAUGCACAGGAUAGGUGGGACGCUGGGAGACGAGGACUUUGGUUUUCGUGGAGCGGCCGUUGGGAUACCACUCUUCUGUUAUUGAGAUUCUAACCUCAAGCCGUGAGCCGGAUGAGAGACAGUGUCAGGCGGACAGUUUGACUGGGGCGGUCGCCUCCGAAAGAGUAACGGAGGCGCCCAAAGGUACCCUCAGAAUGGAUGGAAACCAUUCGAAGAGAGCAAAGUCAGAAGGGUGCUUGACUGCGAGACCAACAAGUCGAGCAGGUACGAAAGUAGGGCUUAGUGAUCCGGCGGUAAGAGAGUGGAAUUGCCGUCGCUCAACGGAUAAAAGCUACCUCGGGGAUAACAGGCU